RNAcentral lists this non-coding RNA (239 nucleotides) under Nannospalax galili (Upper Galilee mountains blind mole rat). Lineage: Eukaryota; Metazoa; Chordata; Mammalia; Rodentia; Spalacidae. The record is from RNAcentral.
AGAGGCAGGCGGAUCCCUGUGAGCUGGAGGCCGGCCUGGUCUACACAGUGAGUUCCAGGCCAGCUGGGGCUACAGGGAGACCCUGUUUCAAAAAGACCAUUUUUUUUGAAACAGGGUCUCCCUGUAGCCCCAGCUGGCCUGGAACUCACUGUGUAGACCAGGCCAGCCUCGAACUCAGAGAUCCGCCUGCCUCUGCCUCCCGAGUGCUGGGACUACAGGCGUGCACCACCACACCCGAC